RNAcentral lists this ribosomal RNA (471 nucleotides) under uncultured bacterium. Its description in RNAcentral is "partial 16S ribosomal RNA". It matches the Rfam family "Bacterial small subunit ribosomal RNA", at positions 28 to 507 of the family's 1533-position model. The record is from RNAcentral.
GACGAACGCUGGCGGCGUGCUUAACACAUGCAAGUCGAACGGAAAGGCCCUGCUUGCAGGGUGCUCGAGUGGCGAACGGGUGAGUAACACGUGGGUGAUCUGCCCCUUACUUUGGGAUAAGCCUGGGAAACUGGGUCUAAUACUGGAUAGGACCAUGCUGUAGGUGGUGUGGUGGAAAGAUUUUUUCGGUAAGGGAUGAGCUCGCGGCCUAUCAGCUUGUUGGUGGGGUAAUGGCCUACCAAGGCGUCGACGGGUAGCCGGCCUGAGAGGGUGGACGGCCACAUUGGGACUGAGAUACGGCCCAGACUCCUACGGGAGGCAGCAGUGGGGAAUAUUGCACAAUGGGCGCAAGCCUGAUGCAGCGACGCCGCGUGGGGGAUGACGGCCUUCGGGUUGUAAACUCCUUUCAGCCAUGACGAAGCCUCUUUUGGGGUGACGGUAGUGGCAGAAGAAGCACCGGCUAACUACGUG